RNAcentral lists this long non-coding RNA (399 nucleotides) under Durio zibethinus. Its description in RNAcentral is "long non-coding RNA (DZIB_LNC000389)". The record is from RNAcentral. Lineage: Eukaryota; Viridiplantae; Streptophyta; Magnoliopsida; Malvales; Malvaceae.
UCAAAUCCAAAUUAAAUGUAUAUUUUAUAAAAUUAAAACAAACAAAAAACUUAUCCCGACGGAAUCGUUGCCGUCACCAAUCAAGAGUUUUAUUGGGUGUAUCUUCUACACCCGUACGAGCCUCAAAGGGGACUACAAGGCGGGUGCCGAAGAUGGGGAGCUUUGGACCCCGUCAGGGCAAUGGCUUCUGGUGGGUCUCUGGUUUGAUUGGCUUGAUUUAAAUUUGGGUUUUGUUUGCCUAAUUAAAAAAAAUAUUGGUGUAAACAGAAUUAAAGAAAAUGAUUCAAAUCCUAAUUAUAAUCUAACCACAAAGCCACACGAGCUUGAAAAGUGGGGUGCUAAAGUGGGGUGCUGUUGUUGUUGUCGUCAUCAUCUUGCUUGACCAUUCCAUUUCUUUUG